GACGAACGCUGGCGGCGUGCUUAACACAUGCAAGUCGAACGGAAAGGCCCUGCUUGCAGGGUACUCGAGUGGCGAACGGGUGAGUAACACGUGGGUGAUCUGCCCUGCACUUCGGGAUAAGCCUGGGAAACUGGGUCUAAUACCGGAUAGGAGCCAUUUUUAGUGUGAUGGUUGGAAAGUUUUUUCGGUGUAGGAUGAGCUCGCGGCCUAUCAGCUUGUUGGUGGGGUAAUGGCCUACCAAGGCGGCGACGGGUAGCCGGCCUGAGAGGGUGGACGGCCACAUUGGGACUGAGAUACGGCCCAGACUCCUACGGGAGGCAGCAGUGGGGAAUAUUGCACAAUGGGCGCAAGCCUGAUGCAGCGACGCCGCGUGGGGGAUGACGGCCUUCGGGUUGUAAACUCCUUUCGCUAGGGACGAAGCUUUUGUGACGGUACCUAGAGAAGAAGCACCGGCUAACUACGUA
This 464-nucleotide ribosomal RNA is filed under the name uncultured bacterium. RNAcentral describes it as "partial 16S ribosomal RNA". It matches the Rfam family "Bacterial small subunit ribosomal RNA", at positions 28 to 507 of the family's 1533-position model. The record is from RNAcentral.